This 434-nucleotide ribosomal RNA is filed under the name uncultured bacterium. RNAcentral's name for it is "partial 16S ribosomal RNA". It matches the Rfam family "Bacterial small subunit ribosomal RNA", at positions 29 to 506 of the family's 1533-position model. The record is from RNAcentral.
ACGAACGCUGGCGGCAUGCCUAACACAUGCAAGUCGAACGCCCCGCAAGGGGAGUGGCGCACGGGUGAGUAACGCGUGGGGAUCUGCCCAUCGGUGGGGAAUAACCUCGGGAAACUGAGGCUAAUACCGCAUACGCCCUGUAAAGGGGAAAGAUUUAUCGCCGAUGGAUGAACCCGCGUCCGAUUAGCUUGUUGGUGAGGUAAUGGCUCACCAAGGCUUCGAUCGGUAGCUGGUCUGAGAGGAUGACCAGCCACACUGGGACUGAGACACGGCCCAGACUCCUACGGGAGGCAGCAGUGGGGAAUAUUGGACAAUGGGCGCAAGCCUGAUCCAGCAAUGCCGCGUGAAUGAUGAAGGCCUUAGGGUUGUAAAGUUCUUUUGUUAGGGAAGAAUAUUUUGACGGUACCUAACGAAUAAGAGGUUGCUAACUCUGU